GUUCUUUUAGUAUUAACCAGUACAAGUGAUUUCCACUCACUAAGUCUUAAUAAAAAUUUAAGAAAGAACA
This 70-nucleotide transfer RNA is filed under the name Holbrookia lacerata. Its description in RNAcentral is "tRNA-Gly". Lineage: Eukaryota; Metazoa; Chordata; Lepidosauria; Squamata; Phrynosomatidae. The record is from RNAcentral.